This 468-nucleotide ribosomal RNA is filed under the name uncultured bacterium. RNAcentral's name for it is "partial 16S ribosomal RNA". It matches the Rfam family "Bacterial small subunit ribosomal RNA", at positions 28 to 507 of the family's 1533-position model. The record is from RNAcentral.
GACGAACGCUGGCGGCGUGCUUAACACAUGCAAGUCGAACGGAAAGGCCCUGCUUUUGUGGGGUGCUCGAGUGGCGAACGGGGGAGUAACACGUGAGUAACCCGCUCCUGACUGUGGGAUAACUUCAGGAAACUGGGGCUAAUACCGGAGAGGACCUCUUGCUGCAGGUGGUGGGAUGGAAAGUUUCGGCGGUGUGGUAUGGACUCGCGGCUUACCAGUUUGUUGGUGGGGUAUUGGCUUACCAAGGGUUUGAGGGCUGGCCUGCCUGAGAGGGUGACCGGCCACAUGGGGACUGAGGUAGGCCCCAGACUCCUACGGGAGGCAGCGGUGGGGAAUAUUGCACAAGGGGCCGAAGCGUGAGGCAGCAACGCCGCGUGCGGGAUGACGGCUUUCGGGUUGUAAACCGCUUUCGCCUGUGACGAAGCGUGAGUGACGGUACUGGGUAAAGAAGCACCGGCUAACUACGUG